UUUAGCCAAAUUGAUGAUCGUU
RNAcentral lists this microRNA (22 nucleotides) under Rosa chinensis. RNAcentral's name for it is "sRNA RchiOBHm_Chr3g0478645". Lineage: Eukaryota; Viridiplantae; Streptophyta; Magnoliopsida; Rosales; Rosaceae. The record is from RNAcentral.